GACUUUCUAGCUCCUACUUCCUACAAAGCUCAGUGGUAAUCAUCAGAAAAGCUCCAUAGAAGGUGGAUAGAUUGAAACUUGGAAGCUUAAAACUUGGAUAAAAGGUUGGAACUCGUGGGAAGAAAAGUAAGUAUGAUUCGUAGCUGCUGGAUGUAUAUAUGAUGAAAAUCGUAAGUGAAUCAUCCCUUAUGAAAUUUUCUGGAUUUCUGCUGAAACUACAUCGGGUUUUUUGGGUUGACCCGUAA
Molecule: long non-coding RNA, 245 nt
Filed under: Helianthus annuus (common sunflower)
Lineage: Eukaryota; Viridiplantae; Streptophyta; Magnoliopsida; Asterales; Asteraceae
Description: hypothetical non coding rna
Source: RNAcentral